AAGUGGGUGCUGAUUAUGCUCCGGUUUAGUUCCUAAGUUAUCAGGAUUGAACAGAAUCCUAGAGUCGUCAUUUCGGCCAGUGAGAGCACUGAAGAAAGUCAAUCCAUUAGGCCAUUUGAUAUCAUUCUCAUGAUCAUGAGCUCCGAUCAUGUGAUCUUCCAUUCGAGGUUCAGAUGAAUGAGGAUGAAUCCAGUGAGAGCACUGAAGAAUGUCAAUCCAUUAGGCCAUUUGAUAUCAUUCUCAUGAUCAGCUCCCAUCAUGUGAUCUUCCAUUCGAGGUUCGGAUGAAUGAGGAUGAAGGAACAUCUGUGAUUCAUCUUUGGACUGAUGAUGCAUUCCAAGUCUUGCAGAGU
RNAcentral lists this long non-coding RNA (352 nucleotides) under Nicotiana benthamiana. RNAcentral's name for it is "long non-coding RNA (NBEN_LNC009351)". Lineage: Eukaryota; Viridiplantae; Streptophyta; Magnoliopsida; Solanales; Solanaceae. The record is from RNAcentral.